RNAcentral lists this small RNA (28 nucleotides) under Bombyx mori (domestic silkworm). RNAcentral describes it as "piRNA piR-bmo-1800267". The record is from RNAcentral. Lineage: Eukaryota; Metazoa; Arthropoda; Insecta; Lepidoptera; Bombycidae.
UACCUAAAAGCAUCGUUAGUGGAUCGUG